AAAACAAUUCAGACGAGAAAACUAACUGCCUCAUUUAUGUACAAAAAACAUUAACGAAAUACAAAUAUGUAACACAUAAACAAACGACAACCACUGAAUUACAGGCUCCUGACUUGGGACAGGCACAUACAUAAAUAAUGUGGCAUGGUUAAACAUGUUAGCGGGAUCCCAACCCUCUCCCUAACCUGGGACAGUGGUAUAACAGUACAACAUAAGAACGAACUAUAAAAAUCAGUUGAAAAAGGCUUAACUCAUCAGAUAGACAAAAAAUACAAGUGGAC
Molecule: long non-coding RNA, 281 nt
Filed under: Mytilus galloprovincialis (Mediterranean mussel)
Lineage: Eukaryota; Metazoa; Mollusca; Bivalvia; Mytilida; Mytilidae
Source: RNAcentral